CAAUAGCGUAUAUUAAAGUUGUUGCGGUUAAAAAGCUCGUAGUUGGAUUUCUGCCGAGGACGACCGGUCCGCCCUCCGGGUGAGUAUCUGGCUCGGCCUGGGCAUCUUCUUGGAGAACGUAACUGCACUUGGCUGUGUGGUGCGGUAUUCAGGACUUUUACUUUGAGGAAAUUAGAGUGUUUCAAGCAGGCACACGCCUUGAAUACAUUAGCAUGGAAUAAUAAGAUAGGACCUCGGUUCUAUUUUGUUGGUUUCUAGAUCUGAGGUAAUGAUUAAUAGGGAUAGUUGGGGGCAUUCGUAUUUAACUGUCAGAGAUGAAAUUCUUGGAUUUGUUAAAGACGGACUACUGCGAAAGCAUUUGCCAAGGAUGUUUNCAUUGA
Molecule: ribosomal RNA, 380 nt
Filed under: uncultured eukaryote
Lineage: Eukaryota
Description: partial 18S ribosomal RNA
Rfam family: Eukaryotic small subunit ribosomal RNA
Source: RNAcentral